This 452-nucleotide ribosomal RNA is filed under the name uncultured Sphingomonas sp. RNAcentral describes it as "bacterial SSU rRNA". It matches the Rfam family "Bacterial small subunit ribosomal RNA", at positions 8 to 507 of the family's 1533-position model. The record is from RNAcentral. Lineage: Bacteria; Pseudomonadati; Pseudomonadota; Alphaproteobacteria; Sphingomonadales; Sphingomonadaceae.
AGAGUUUGAUCCUGGCUCAGAAUGAACGCUGGCGGCAUGCCUAACACAUGCAAGUCGAACGAGACCUUCGGGUCUAGUGGCGCACGGGUGCGUAACGCGUGGGAAUCUGCCCUUGGGUUCGGAAUAACAGUUAGAAAUGACUGCUAAUACCGGAUGAUGUCGUAAGACCAAAGAUUUAUCGCCCAAGGAUGAGCCCGCGUAGGAUUAGCUAGUUGGUGAGGUAAGAGCUCACCAAGGCGACGAUCCUUAGCUGGUCUGAGAGGAUGAUCAGCCACACUGGGACUGAGACACGGCCCAGACUCCUACGGGAGGCAGCAGUGGGGAAUAUUGGACAAUGGGCGAAAGCCUGAUCCAGCAAUGCCGCGUGAGUGAUGAAGGCCUUAGGGUUGUAAAGCUCUUUACCCGGGAUGAUAAUGACAGUACCGGGAGAAUAAGCUCCGGCUAACUUCGUG